This 253-nucleotide ribosomal RNA is filed under the name uncultured bacterium. RNAcentral describes it as "partial 16S ribosomal RNA". It matches the Rfam family "Bacterial small subunit ribosomal RNA", at positions 524 to 776 of the family's 1533-position model. The record is from RNAcentral.
UACAGAGGGUGCAAGCGUUAAUCGGAAUUACUGGGCGUAAAGCGUGCGUAGUCGGUUAUUUAAGUCGGAUGUGAAAUCCCCGGGCUCAACCUGGGAAUUGCAUUCGAUACUGGAUAGCUAGAGUUCGGCAGAGGGAAGCGGAAUUUCCGGUGUAGCGGUGAAAUGCGUAGAUAUCGGAAGGAACAUCAGUGGCGAAAGCGGCUUCCUGGACCAGAACUGACGAUCAGGCACGAAAGCGUGGGGAGCAAACAGG